AUAAUUUUACAAGUUUUUACGUAUUUUUUUUUUUUUUUUUUUUUUUUUUUUUAUGCUAGGUACUAUAUGUAAAUGUCAUUGUUUGACCUAACAGAAAUACUUGGCAAUUCAAAAGGAGAAAAAUUAUAAGUCAUAAAAGUCGCCUACUUAAUAAUGUUGAAACGAUCAAAGUCGGGUCAUUUGGGUCGGGUUGAGUUCGAACGAAACGGGUCGCACAUCUUCACAUACCUAAUAACAACAAUAUGGCAAGGCACAGGUAUAGGUAUAUAAUAUAAUAUCACACGGAAUGUUUUCGCUGAAG
Molecule: non-coding RNA, 301 nt
Organism: Cinara cedri
Lineage: Eukaryota; Metazoa; Arthropoda; Insecta; Hemiptera; Aphididae
Source: the annotation of a GenBank genome assembly